UACAGCAGUGGCAGACGGGUGAGUAACGCGUGGGAACGUGCCUUUUGGUUCGGAACAACCCAGGGAAACUUGGGCUAAUACCGGAUAAGCCCUUACGGGGAAAGAUUUAUCGCCAAAAGAUCGGCCCGCGUCUGAUUAGCUAGUUGGUGAGGUAAUGGCUCACCAAGGCAACGAUCAGUAGCUGGUCUGAGAGGAUGAUCAGCCACACUGGGACUGAGACACGGCCCAG
Molecule: ribosomal RNA, 229 nt
Filed under: uncultured bacterium
Lineage: Bacteria
Description: partial 16S ribosomal RNA
Rfam family: Bacterial small subunit ribosomal RNA
Source: RNAcentral